CAGGCAAAUAGACCUACUGGUGCCUUCUUGUCCGCAAAGCGGCAAAGGCUGAAACGGGAAUGAGGAACGGGCGGACCCAUACAGGGCGCCCCAAGCCACAACCGCCCCCGCGACUGUAUGCGGCGAGCGUGCGUUCAAUUGGCCACUGGCCCGGCAACGGGUUGGGAAGGCGGACAGCACGUAACGACCCGCGAGUCAGGAGACCGGCCAGAGGACGGAACAUAUC
RNAcentral lists this non-coding RNA (226 nucleotides) under Rhodobacterales bacterium. Lineage: Bacteria; Pseudomonadati; Pseudomonadota; Alphaproteobacteria; Rhodobacterales. The record is from RNAcentral.